GGGAGAUGGCUCAGUUGGGAAAGCGCUUGCCACACAAGCAGGAAGACCUGAGUUCAAUUCUCAGUGCCCA
RNAcentral lists this transfer RNA (70 nucleotides) under Mus musculus (house mouse). It matches the Rfam family "tRNA". From Rfam's summary of the family: Transfer RNA (tRNA) molecules are approximately 80 nucleotides in length. Their secondary structure includes four short double-helical elements and three loops (D, anti-codon, and T loops). Further hydrogen bonds mediate the characteristic L-shaped molecular structure. tRNAs have two regions of fundamental functional importance: the anti-codon, which is responsible for specific mRNA codon recognition, and the 3' end, to which the tRNAs corresponding amino acid is attached (by aminoacyl-tRNA synthetases). tRNAs cope with the degeneracy of the genetic code in two manners: having more than one tRNA (with a specific anti-codon) for a particular amino acid; and 'wobble' base-pairing, i.e. permitting non-standard base-pairing at the 3rd anti-codon position. The record is from Rfam by way of RNAcentral. Lineage: Eukaryota; Metazoa; Chordata; Mammalia; Rodentia; Muridae.